This 460-nucleotide ribosomal RNA is filed under the name uncultured archaeon. Its description in RNAcentral is "bacterial SSU rRNA". It matches the Rfam family "Archaeal small subunit ribosomal RNA", at positions 385 to 845 of the family's 1478-position model. The record is from RNAcentral.
UGCCACUCUUAACGGGGUGGCUUUUCAUAAAUGUAAAAAGCUUCUGGAAUAAGGGCUGGGCAAGACAGGUGCCAGCCGCCGCGGUAACACCGGCAGCUCACGUGGGAGCCGCUUUUAUUGGGCCUAAAGCGUCCGUAGCCGGUCUGAUAAGUCUCUGGUGAAAUCCCACAGCUUAACUGUGGGAAUUGCUGGAGAUACUAUCAUGACUCGAGGUCGGGAGAAGCUGGAAGUACUCCCAGGGUAGGGGUGAAAUCCUGUAAUCCUGGGAGGACCACCUGUGGCGAAAGCGUCCAGCUGGAACGAACCUGACGGUGAAGGACGAAAGCCAGGGGCGCGAACCGGAAUAAAUACCCGGGUAGUCCUGGCCGUAAACGAUGUGGACUUGGUGUUGAGAUGGCUUCCAGCUGCCCCAGUGCCGAAAGGAAGCUGUUAAGUCCACCGCCUGGGAAGUACGGCCGCA